CGUGAAUGAAAUCACCAAUCUUAGAAAGAGUAGAGUGAAAGAAUUCAUGUAAUGUUUUUAAACUAGUUAUCUAACAAGGCCAAGUGGAAAUAAGAGAAGAACAAUGAAGUUUGGAAGAAAAUGUUAAGGAAUAGACAGCAAAAGGAUGAUGUUCAUCUAGGGAAGAAAUGUCUUGAGUAGGUCAAUAUAAUAGGACAAGGACGUGGAUCCUAGGUAUCUAGGGAGCGCUGUGAUGGAGAAGGCUUGUGACAAAAUUUAAAGCUGUCCUUCACUUGGGAAACAGGACACGGACAGAACAUCUAACUUCAGACAGCCAUCAGGGAGGACAAAGAAAGGGAAAAAAGAAGAGCUUGAUUGGCAGACAGUCCAGAUCCAUAGUGGAAGACCAUUCACUUGGUGAUCGAGCACUCUCCUGA
Molecule: long non-coding RNA, 416 nt
Filed under: Phascolarctos cinereus (koala)
Lineage: Eukaryota; Metazoa; Chordata; Mammalia; Diprotodontia; Phascolarctidae
Description: lncRNA (ENSPCIG00000026363.2)
Source: RNAcentral